UACGGAGGAGGCAAGCGUUAUCCGGAAUUAUUGGGCGUAAAGCGUCCGCAGGUGGCACUUCAAGUCUGUCGUCAAAGACUGGGGCUUAACCCUGGAAAGGCGGUGGAAACUGAAGCGCUAGAGUGCGGUAGGGGUAGAGGGAAUUCCCGGUGUAGCGGUGAAAUGCGUAGAGAUCGGGAAGAACAUCGGUGGCGAAAGCGACGUGCUGGAUCUCUUCUGACGCUGAGGCGCGAAAGCUAGGGGAGCGAACGGG
This 253-nucleotide ribosomal RNA is filed under the name uncultured bacterium. RNAcentral's name for it is "partial 16S ribosomal RNA". It matches the Rfam family "Bacterial small subunit ribosomal RNA", at positions 524 to 776 of the family's 1533-position model. The record is from RNAcentral.